CUGUUGGCCUAGCACAAAGCACAUUUUUGAGCAUUUGCCAAGAGCUGGGCAAGCGCAUUGCUGGAAUUGGCAUCGAAAUUGCAAAAAUUGCAGCUACUAAAAUGCAAAUUGUGCUAUUUUACAUAGUGUAGUG
Long non-coding RNA from Drosophila busckii, 133 nucleotides. RefSeq lists it as uncharacterized. The transcript is spliced from 3 exons. NCBI's taxonomy places the organism in Eukaryota, Metazoa, Arthropoda, Insecta, Diptera, Drosophilidae. The record is from RefSeq and is a predicted model, not a curated record.